GCCAGGUGUGGUGGCUCAUGCCUGUAAUCCCAGCACUUUGGGAGGCCGAGGCGGGUGGAUCACCUGAGGUCAGGAGUUCGCGACCAGCCUGACCAACAUGGUGAAACCCCGUCUCUA
RNAcentral lists this non-coding RNA (117 nucleotides) under Pan troglodytes (chimpanzee). Lineage: Eukaryota; Metazoa; Chordata; Mammalia; Primates; Hominidae. The record is from Rfam by way of RNAcentral.